CCUACGGGUGGCAGCAGUGGGGGAUAUUGCACAAUGGGCGAAACCCUGAUGCAGCGACGCCGCGUGGGCGAUGAAGUCCUUACGUAUGUAAAGCUCUAUCAGCCGGGAAGAAGAAAUGACGGUACCUGAGUAAGAAGCACCGGCUAAAUACGUAACAGCAGCCGGCGUAAUACGUAUGGUGCAAGCGUUGUCCGGAUUUACUGGGUGUAAAGGGAUCGCAGGUGUCAAGGCAAGUCUGGUGUGAAAGCCUGCGGCCCAACCGCGGUACUGCAUUUGAAACUACCGGGGUUGAGUGUCGGAGAGGUAGGCGGAAUUCCUGGUGUAGCGGUGAAAUGCGUAGAUAUCAGGAGGAACACCAGUGGCGAAGGCGGCCUACUGGACGGUGACUGACGCUGAGGCUCGAAAGCGUGGGGAGCAAACAGGAUUAGAUACCCCGGUAGUC
This 442-nucleotide ribosomal RNA is filed under the name uncultured bacterium. RNAcentral describes it as "partial 16S ribosomal RNA". It matches the Rfam family "Bacterial small subunit ribosomal RNA", at positions 338 to 795 of the family's 1533-position model. The record is from RNAcentral.